UGGGCUGGUGAGACAGCUGCGUUAGCGCCGGUUUUACCUGCGCUACCGAGGAACGUCCGGGCUCCGCAGGGGAGAACGGUGGCUAACGGCCACCCGGGGUAACCCGCGAGAAAGUGCAACAGAGAGUAGACCGCUGCGCUGAUUUUUUCGGCGCAGUAAGGGUGAAAGGGUGGUGUAAGAGACCACCAGCGUUUGUGGUGACACAGGCGGCUAGGUAAACCUCGUUCGGAGCAAGACCAUGUAGAGCACGCUAUUAGGCGCCCCGCUGAAAGUGCUCGGGUAGGUUGCUAGAGCUUAUCCGGUAACGGUAAGCCGAGAUAGAUAGCUGUCACGGUGACACCCGCGGGUGUCACCGCACAGAACCCGGCGUAUGAUCUAGCCCACAUC
RNAcentral lists this RNase P RNA (387 nucleotides) under Leucobacter sp. OH1287. Its description in RNAcentral is "Bacterial RNase P class A". It matches the Rfam family "Bacterial RNase P class A". From Rfam's summary of the family: Ribonuclease P (RNase P) is a ubiquitous endoribonuclease, found in archaea, bacteria and eukarya as well as chloroplasts and mitochondria. Its best characterised activity is the generation of mature 5'-ends of tRNAs by cleaving the 5'-leader elements of precursor-tRNAs. Lineage: Bacteria; Bacillati; Actinomycetota; Actinomycetes; Micrococcales; Microbacteriaceae. The record is from Rfam by way of RNAcentral.